AGUGGGAUUUUUUUUUUUUACUAUCAAACUUAGUGUAUGAGUAAGAGCUGUUAGUUCAAAAUGGACAGCGAUUCCUAUCCAUCGUCUGCUAGAACGGUGAGGCGUUGCAAACGACGGCGGCGACCGCGUAAAAUCCGAACACAACGGCGACGGAUAGGUUCUUACACAUCUCUUGAGACUGAUACUACCGCAUCGCGAAGUCGAUCGGUAAGUGUUAAUUCCAGUUCUAGUUUUUUUUCAUUAUCACCCCUACGUCAACGGUCGCUCUCGUCGACUUCAUAUUCUCCUUGGAGCUCGAGUAGCGACGUGAAGUCUUUUCAUAGUAAAUCAACACUGUGGUUGGAAUCGGAUACAGAUGACGAACAUGGAAUUGGAAAUUGGUCUACAUCAGAACCAUCAAUAAUUUCGCUAGCAGAUUCAUGGUCAUCAACAGAUGUUACUUAUGAAUCGGAUGCAGACGUGUUACCUCCACUUCUGCGUCUUAAUCAGCCAGCUAUUGAAACCAUUUGGCUAACUGAUUCGGAUUAAUAUGGUUUUUAGGGAGGUAUUUAUUAUUGUUGAAAACAUGAACGUUAGAGAUCACUGUUAACAGAUAGAGUUGUUGGAAAUUAUUAUCAUGUGUACUCUACGCUAUGAGACUUAAAU
This is a long non-coding RNA of Adelges cooleyi (spruce gall adelgid), 645 nucleotides long. RefSeq lists it as uncharacterized. Lineage: Eukaryota; Metazoa; Arthropoda; Insecta; Hemiptera; Adelgidae. The transcript has 5 exons. The record is from RefSeq and is a predicted model, not a curated record.